Molecule: ribosomal RNA, 253 nt
Filed under: uncultured bacterium
Lineage: Bacteria
Description: partial 16S ribosomal RNA
Rfam family: Bacterial small subunit ribosomal RNA
Source: RNAcentral
UACGUAGGGUCCGAGCGUUGUCCGGAAUUACUGGGCGUAAAGAGCUCGUAGGUGGUUUGUCGCGUUGUUCGUGAAAACUCACAGCUCAACUGUGGGCGUGCGGGCGAUACGGGCAGACUUGAGUACUGCAGGGGAGACUGGAAUUCCUGGUGUAGCGGUGAAAUGCGCAGAUAUCAGGAGGAACACCGGUGGCGAAGGCGGGUCUCUGGGCCGAAACUGACGCUGAGGAGCGAAAGCGUGGGGAGCGAACAGG